UCCGCCAGAGAACUACAAGUGAAAAACUUGAAACUCAAAGGACUUGACGGUGUCCCAUAUCGGCCUAGAGGAGCCUGUCCUAUAAUCGAUACCCCCCGUUCCACCCAACCACAACUAGCAAAAUACCAGCCUAUAUACCGCCGUCGACAGUUUACCCUAUGAAGGUCUAAUAGUAAACACAAUAGCCCUACAACGCUAAUACGUCAGGUCAAGGUGUAGCAAAUGUUGAGGAAGAGAUUGGCUACAUUUUUUAAUAUAAAAAACACGAAUUGCACUAUGAAAUACUGCAUGAAGGUGAAUUUAGUAGUAAAACAGAUAAGAGUGUCUGUUUUAACAACGCUCUGGGACGCGUACACACCGCCC
RNAcentral lists this ribosomal RNA (363 nucleotides) under Podarcis milensis (Milos wall lizard). Its description in RNAcentral is "partial 12S ribosomal RNA". It matches the Rfam family "Bacterial small subunit ribosomal RNA", at positions 868 to 1395 of the family's 1533-position model. The record is from RNAcentral. Lineage: Eukaryota; Metazoa; Chordata; Lepidosauria; Squamata; Lacertidae.